This 253-nucleotide ribosomal RNA is filed under the name uncultured bacterium. Its description in RNAcentral is "partial 16S ribosomal RNA". It matches the Rfam family "Bacterial small subunit ribosomal RNA", at positions 524 to 776 of the family's 1533-position model. The record is from RNAcentral.
UACGAAGGGGGCUAGCGUUGUUCGGAAUUACUGGGCGUAAAGCGCACGUAGGCGGACUACUAAGUCAGGGGUGAAAUCCCGGGGCUCAACCCCGGAACUGCCUUUGAUACUGGUAGUCUCGAGUCCGGAAGAGGUGAGUGGAAUUCCGAGUGUAGAGGUGAAAUUCGUAGAUAUUCGGAGGAACACCAGUGGCGAAGGCGGCUUACUGGUCCGGUACUGACGCUGAGGUGCGAAAGCGUGGGGAGCAAACAGG